This 655-nucleotide ribosomal RNA is filed under the name uncultured bacterium. RNAcentral describes it as "bacterial SSU rRNA". It matches the Rfam family "Bacterial small subunit ribosomal RNA", at positions 370 to 1030 of the family's 1533-position model. The record is from RNAcentral.
UAUGACGCAGUCUGAACAGCCAUGCCGCGUGCAGGAUGACGGCCCUAUGGGUUGUAAACUGCUUUUGUACGGGAAGAAACCCUCGUUUGCGAACGAGGUUGACGGUACCGUGAGAAUAAGGAUCGGCUAACUUCGUGCCAGCAGCCGCGGUAAUACGAAGGAUCCUAGCGUUGUCCGGAUUUACUGGGUUUAAAGGGUGCGUAGGCGGACUUUUAAGUCAGUGGUGAAAGCCUGCAGCUUAACUGUAGAAUUGCCAUUGAAACUGAUUGUCUCGAGUGCGGUUGAGGUCACUGGAAUGUAUCAUGUAGCGGUGAAAUGCUUAGAUAUGAUACAGAACACCAAUUGCGAAGGCAGGUGACUAAGCCGUAACUGACGCUGAUGCACGAAAGCGUGGGGAUCAAACAGGAUUAGAUACCCUGGUAGUCCACGCCCUAAACGUUGAAUACUCGACCUUAGCGAUAUACAGUUAGGGUCCAAGCGAAAGCGUUAAGUAUUCCACCUGGGAAGUACGAUCGCAAGAUUGAAACUCAGAGGAAUUGACGGGGGCCCGCACAAGCGGAGGAGCGUGUGGUUUAAUUCGAUGAUACGCGAGGAACCUUACCUGGGCUUGAAUGUGAGUGAACGCUGCCGAAAGGUGGGUUCCCUUCGGGGCACA